RNAcentral lists this ribosomal RNA (825 nucleotides) under uncultured Algibacter sp. RNAcentral describes it as "bacterial SSU rRNA". It matches the Rfam family "Bacterial small subunit ribosomal RNA", at positions 36 to 863 of the family's 1533-position model. Lineage: Bacteria; Pseudomonadati; Bacteroidota; Flavobacteriia; Flavobacteriales; Flavobacteriaceae. The record is from RNAcentral.
CUAGCGGCAGGCCUAACACAUGCAAGUCGAGGGGUAACAUUGGUGCUUGCACCAGAUGACGACCGGCGCACGGGUGCGUAACGCGUAUACAAUCUACCUUUUGCUAAGGGAUAGCCCAGAGAAAUUUGGAUUAAUACCUUAUAGUAUGCAGACUUCUCAUGGAGAUUGCAUUAAAGAUUACGGCAAAAGAUGAGUAUGCGUCCUAUUAGUUUGUUGGUGUGGUAACGGCACACCAAGACUACGAUAGGUAGGGGCCCUGAGAGGGGGAUCCCCCACACUGGUACUGAGACACGGACCAGACUCCUACGGGAGGCAGCAGUGAGGAAUAUUGGACAAUGGAGGCAACUCUGAUCCAGCCAUGCCGCGUGCAGGAAGACUGCCCUAUGGGUUGUAAACUGCUUUUAUACAGGAAGAAACACUCCCUCGUGAGGGAGCUUGACGGUACUGUAAGAAUAAGGAUCGGCUAACUCCGUGCCAGCAGCCGCGGUAAUACGGAGGAUCCAAGCGUUAUCCGGAAUCAUUGGGUUUAAAGGGUCCGUAGGUGGAUAAUUAAGUCAGAGGUGAAAGUUUGCAGCUCAACUGUAAAAUUGCCUUUGAUACUGGUUAUCUUGAGUUAUUGUGAAGUAGUUAGAAUAUGUAGUGUAGCGGUGAAAUGCAUAGAUAUUACAUAGAAUACCAAUUGCGAAGGCAGAUUACUAACAAUAUACUGACACUGAUGGACGAAAGCGUGGGUAGCGAACAGGAUUAGAUACCCUGGUAGUCCACGCCGUAAACGAUGGAUACUAGCUGUUGGGCUUCGGCUCAGUGGCUAAGCGAAAGUGAUAA